RNAcentral lists this ribosomal RNA (753 nucleotides) under uncultured cyanobacterium. Its description in RNAcentral is "bacterial SSU rRNA". It matches the Rfam family "Bacterial small subunit ribosomal RNA", at positions 83 to 869 of the family's 1533-position model. Lineage: Bacteria; Bacillati; Cyanobacteriota. The record is from RNAcentral.
UUCGGGAUUCUAGUGGCGGACGGGUGAGUAACGCGUAAGAAUCUAACUUCAGGACGGGGACAACAGUUGGAAACGACUGCUAAUACCCGAUAUGCCGCGAGGUGAAACCUAAUUGGCCUGAAGAAGAGCUUGCGUCUGAUUAGCUAGUUGGUGGGGUAAGAGCCUACCAAGGCGACGAUCAGUAGCUGGUCUGAGAGGAUGAGCAGCCACACUGGGACUGAGACACGGCCCAGACUCCUACGGGAGGCAGCAGUGGGGAAUUUUCCGCAAUGGGCGAAAGCCUGACGGAGCAACGCCGCGUGAGGGAGGAAGGUCUUUGGAUUGUAAACCUCUUUUCUCAAGGAAGAAGUUCUGACGGUACUUGAGGAAUCAGCCUCGGCUAACUCCGUGCCAACAGCCGCGGUAAUACGGGGGAGGCAAGCGUUAUCCGGAAUUAUUGGGCGUAAAGCGUCCGCAGGUGGUCAGCCAAGUCUGCCGUCAAAUCAGGUUGCUUAACGACCUAAAGGCGGUGGAAACUGGCAGACUAGAGAGCAGUAGGGGUAGCAGGAAUUCCCAGUGUAGCGGUGAAAUGCGUAGAGAUUGGGAAGAACAUCGGUGGCGAAAGCGUGCUACUGGGCUGUAUCUGACACUCAGGGACGAAAGCUAGGGGAGCGAAAGGGAUUAGAUACCCCUGUAGUCCUAGCCGUAAACGAUGGAUACUAGGCGUGGCUUGUAUCGACCCGAGCCGUGCCGAAGCUAACGCGUUAAGUAUCC